RNAcentral lists this unclassified non-coding RNA (211 nucleotides) under Basidiomycota sp. RNAcentral's name for it is "partial contains small subunit ribosomal RNA, internal transcribed spacer 1, and 5.8S ribosomal RNA". The stretch from base 1 to 47 matches the Rfam family "Eukaryotic small subunit ribosomal RNA", at positions 1785 to 1831 of the family's 1831-position model. Lineage: Eukaryota; Fungi; Basidiomycota. The record is from RNAcentral.
AAAGUCGUAACAAGGUUUCCGUAGGUGAACCUGCGGAAGGAUCAUUACAAAUCCACGUCUCUUUUGAGACUCGUUGAAACGUUUGGGGGAGCCGGACCAGUGCCUUAAACAGCACCUCAGUCCUGGCACCCUCUAAAAACCUGUGAUUAUGUUGAACAGAUGUAUUAAAUUAAAAUUUAAACAACUUAUAACAACGGAUCUCUAGGCUCUU